This 372-nucleotide ribosomal RNA is filed under the name uncultured bacterium. RNAcentral's name for it is "bacterial SSU rRNA". It matches the Rfam family "Bacterial small subunit ribosomal RNA", at positions 521 to 896 of the family's 1533-position model. The record is from RNAcentral.
UAAUACGUAGGGCGCAAGCGUUGUCCGGAUUCACUGGGUGUAAAGGGUGCGCAGGCGGACAGGCAAGUCAGCGGUGAAAUCUCACGGCUCAACCGUGAAACUGCCGUUGAUACUGCUUGUCUUGAGUUCGGGAGAGGUUGAUGGAAUUCCAGGUGUAGCGGUGAAAUGCGUAGAUAUCUGGAAGAACACCGGUGGCGAAGGCGGUCAACUGGCCCGUAACUGACGCUCAGGCACGAAAGCGUGGGGAUCAAACAGGAUUAGAUACCCUGGUAGUCCACGCCCUAAACGAUGAAUACUUGGUGUUGGCCCAUGUGGUCAGUGCCGAAGGUAACCUGAUAAGUAUUCCACCUGGGGAGUACGCUCGCAAGGGUG